GAGGGUAGGGAAGCGUUAUCUUAGCGUUGUAGUCCGUGGCGAGAGUCCAGAUGGAGCAAAGAGAAGUGAGAAUGUUGGUAUGAGUAACCACAAAGAAGGUGGAAAUCCUUCUGGCCGGAAACCCAAGGUUUCCAUGGCAAUGAUCGUCAGCCAUGGGUUAGGCGGUCCUAAGGCGAAGCCCCAAUCGGGCGUAGCCGAAGGAGAUGUGGAUUAAUAUUUCCACCCUUCAAUCAUUUUCUGAACAGCGACGCAAUCUGGCGUUUUGAAGGGAUAACAGGUUUUCUUUAGGUGAAUUAUUUCACCGAUUUCAAAACAAAAGAUUGCCUGGAAAAGCUGGUAGGGUUAAAGUGAUUGAAUCCGUACCUAAAACCGACACAGGUGGGUUGGUGUUAGUGCACCAAGGCCAACGAGUGAUGUCUCCCGAAGGAACUCGGCAAAAAAGCGGUCGUAAGUUCGCAAUAAGACCUCUCCGAACCAAAACUUUGUUUUGGUUCGGGGCGCAGCGAAAGUAUCUCUGGGGACUGUUUACUAAAAACACAGGCUCCUGCUAUAACUCGAAAGAGGAUGUAUAGGAGCUGAAGCCUGACCAGUAUCUAGGUGUUAAUGUUGCAGGUCUUUGGGUUUUUACCUGAAGGCUUAGCGAUUUAAGCCCUAGAUGAACGUCGGCGGUAACUCUGACCGUCCUAAGGUACCGUAAUCCCUUGUCGGGUAAGUUCCGACCCGCAGGAAAGGCUUCACCACUGGAGAACUGUCUCCGGGAGACGCUCGGUGAAAAUUCGAGGGGGGUAAAGACGCCCCAUACUCGCACCAAGACGGAAAGACCCCGAGAGCUUUACUAUAUCCAGACAUUGAUUUAUGAUUUUAUGUGCAGAGCGUAGGUGGGAGGCGAUGAAGUUUGGUUUCCGGGCCAAAUGGAGCCGACAAUGGAACACCACCCAUGUAAAAUCUUAAAUCUUAUCUUUUCGAGACAGUGUCUGGUGGGUAGUUUAGAUGGGGCAUCUGCCUCCUAAAAGGUAACGGAGGCGUGCAUAAGGUUGGCUAGCUCCGGAUGGAAAUCGGAGCGAUAGGGUAAACCCAUAAGCCAGCUUAACUGCGAUUAAGACAUUGAGAGCAGGUGGGAAACCAGGCGUUAGUGAACCGAUGGUUGUUCGUAGGAACGCCAGAGAUCAUCGACCAAAAGCUACCUCGGGGAUAACAGGCUAGUAGGGCCCGCGAGUUCACAUCAACGGCCCUGUUCGGCACCUCGAUGUCGGCUCGUCGCAUCCUGGGGGUGGAGAAGCUCCCAAGGGUUUGGCUGUUCGCCAAUUAAAGCGAUGCGUGAGUUGGGUUUAGACCGUCGUGAGACAGGUCGGUCCUUGUCUGGUGUGAGCGUCUGAGGCUUGAGGGAGGUCCGGGGUGGUACGAGAGGACCCUCUGGAACCAAUCUCUGGUGUACCAGUUGUCGAAACCUUUCGCACGGCUGGAAAGCCACAUUGGGUUGUGAUAAGGGCUGAAAGCAUCUCAAGCCCGAAGCCAUUCCCAAGAUUAGGCCUCAUUGAGCCCGCUCGGAGAUUACGAGCUUGAUAGGGU
RNAcentral lists this ribosomal RNA (1569 nucleotides) under Candidatus Parcubacteria bacterium. RNAcentral describes it as "partial 23S ribosomal RNA". It matches the Rfam family "Bacterial large subunit ribosomal RNA", at positions 1224 to 2862 of the family's 2925-position model. Lineage: Bacteria; Candidatus Parcubacteria. The record is from RNAcentral.